RNAcentral lists this small RNA (87 nucleotides) under Arabidopsis thaliana (thale cress). Its description in RNAcentral is "ATSL277660". Lineage: Eukaryota; Viridiplantae; Streptophyta; Magnoliopsida; Brassicales; Brassicaceae. The record is from RNAcentral.
UAUAUAUAUAUAUAUGACUCUCGUAAAUAAAACCUCUGGUUCCGCCACUGCUUUUGAGUUCUAAUUAAUAUCGGUUGACAAAAAAAA